This 269-nucleotide ribosomal RNA is filed under the name uncultured bacterium. Its description in RNAcentral is "partial 16S ribosomal RNA". It matches the Rfam family "Bacterial small subunit ribosomal RNA", at positions 338 to 599 of the family's 1533-position model. The record is from RNAcentral.
CCUACGGGGGGCAGCAGUAGGGAAUCUUCCACAAUGGACGAAAGUCUGAUGGAGCAACGCCGCGUGAGUGAAGAAGGGUUUCGGCUCGUAAAGCUCUGUUGGUAGUGAAGAAAGAUAGAGGUAGUAACCGGCCUUUAUUUGACGGUAAUUACUUAGAAAGUCACGGCUAACUACGUGCCAGCAGCCGCGGUAAUACGUAGGUGGCAAGCGUUGUCCGGAUUUAUUGGGCGUAAAGCGAGUGCAGGCGGGUUAAUAAGUCUGAUGUGAAA